RNAcentral lists this ribosomal RNA (616 nucleotides) under Eucyrtidium acuminatum. Its description in RNAcentral is "partial large subunit ribosomal RNA". It matches the Rfam family "Eukaryotic large subunit ribosomal RNA", at positions 89 to 800 of the family's 3401-position model. The record is from RNAcentral. Lineage: Eukaryota; Polycystinea; Nassellaria; Theoperidae.
GCGAGUGAAGCGGGCCCAGCUUAAUCGAAAAUCCCCGCGCCCUCUUUCGGCGUGUUGGGAAUUGUAGUCUUGGCGGGUUAACGGUGCUGGCUUGCGGAUAAUUUGAUGGAAAUCAAAGUCAGAGAGGGUGAAAAUCCCGUGUUCCGCGGCGUCGGCACCACAGUUUGCCCGUUCUCUUCGAGUAGCGUUGCUUGGGAAUGCAGCGUGAAGUGGGAGGUAGAACCCUUCCAAAGCUAAAUAUUGGCGAGAGACCGAUAGCGAACAAGUACCGUGAGGGAAAGAUGAAAAGCACUUUGGGAAGAGAGUUAAACAGUAUGUGAAAUCGUUGGAGGCAAGCGAAUCGCUGGGCUUAUGGCGCGGCUCUGCUGGUGGGCACUCGUGCUUCGGUGUGCGCUCUCUGAGCGUGCCCGUUUGCGCUCCCGGUGCCCGCCUCCAGGGUGAGGUUUUGGCGCCUUGUAGGGCACUGCGAUCCGACCCGUCUUGAAACACGGACCAAGGAGUCUAACAUGUGUGCGAGUGCUCGGGUGAUUGAAACCCCUGCGCGAAGGCAACUCAAAUCGCGAUAGCGGCUUUCUAAGUCGCGCCUCGCGGGUAGUGUACUAUUCCCUAACAAGAG